ACGUCCUACGGGGGGCAGCAGUGGGGGAUAUUGCACAAUGGGGGGAACCCUGAUGCAGCGACGCCGCGUGGGUGAAGAAGCGCUUCGGCGCGUAAAGCCCUGUCAGCAGGGAAGAAAAUGACGGUACCUGAAGAAGAAGCCCCGGCUAACUACGUGCCAGCAGCCGCGGUAAUACGUAGGGGGCAAGCGUUAUCCGGAUUUACUGGGUGUAAAGGGGGCGCAGACGGCGAUGCAAGCCAGGAGGGAAAGCCCGGGGCCCAACCCCGGGACUGCUCUUGGACCUGGGUG
This 288-nucleotide ribosomal RNA is filed under the name uncultured bacterium. Its description in RNAcentral is "partial 16S ribosomal RNA". It matches the Rfam family "Bacterial small subunit ribosomal RNA", at positions 335 to 639 of the family's 1533-position model. The record is from RNAcentral.